Molecule: long non-coding RNA, 539 nt
Organism: Homo sapiens (human)
Lineage: Eukaryota; Metazoa; Chordata; Mammalia; Primates; Hominidae
Source: Ensembl
AGCAGUUUAUGGAGUUGAGCACACAGGCAGGUGCUGGACCAGAAAGGACACACUUUUCCAGGCUUGGCUCGGGGUCUUCAUGAUGCUUUAAAGUUUGAUGGUCUGGAGCGGAAAUGCCAGAGCAACCUGCAGGUGAUAAAGAAGAACAGGUCAUACAGUCAGAAGUCCAAAAUCAAGGUGUCCACUGGAUUGGUUCCUUCUGAGGGCCCUGCUGGAGAAACUGAUCCAUGCCUCUCUCCUAGCUUCUGGUGGUUGCUUGCAAUCUUUGGAGUUCCCGGCUUGUAGCUGCGUCACUCCAGUAUCUGCCUCCAUCUUCACAUGGCAUUCUCUUUUGUGCGUAUGUGUCUCCUCUGUGUCCAUCUCCAAAUCUUUACAAGGACAUUGCCAUUCAGGAUUAGGGCCCACUCUAACCUAGGAUGACCUCAUUUUAACUUGAUUACAUAUGUAAAAACCCUACUUCCAAAUACUGUUCAUAGGUACAGAUGUUAGGAUUUCAAAAUAUAUUUUCGAGAGAUGCAAUUCAAACCACAUAAGCCAAU